GCGACCUGGGUUGGGGGGGGGGACAGCAACAACGUCAGCCGCUACCAACAAAUCAAGGAAAUCAGGUAUUUGAUUAUGCUCAUUUUUUUAAAAUUGUGUCUGUAAGCCCAAUUGCUUCAUUUUGUGUCCUCCAUGAACUUCCUGCAUUCCCAAUAAUGGUGAGAGGGUGGGGUGGGAUGGAAACCUGCCGCACCACAACAGCAGACUCCUUCAACUCUGACAGCGCAAACAUUCAUGAUUCUGAUAUGAUUUCGGACGUUGUGUCAGGACGGAUGAGGAAUGAGUCUCAGCCCUAAGGGGCCACGAGCGGAGUCAAGAUAGCAUGGCUUUGGUCCCGCCCACCUGAGCCUUGCUUCCUGCUUCUCCCGGCUUCUCGUAAGCCGUGAGCAACAUGUCCCGACCGGGGCGGCGAACGACAGACCUCCUUAGAGGCAGCCAGCCAUCCGGGGGAAUCUGCUGCAGGCGUUGGGACAAACGGCAAAGAGUGGUGGCGGUGGCGGCGGCGGCGGCGGCAGCCAACUGCAGGCUUUGGCAGAUGAGGACAUGGCGUCUUAUGGGGGCGGGGGUGCUGCACGGGCGUGAUCGGCACACCUUUGGCCAUGUGACCUCAUGUGCUCAUCACCAAGGCGCUAACAGAACGCCGCACACGUUGUCGGGGCUUGCCGGCGGCGCGUCGUACUCACCACCAGAUGGGAUAGCCUCCGAGCACCCGCGAGCCGCACAGCCACACGCACAGCAAAUAUCCAAUCAGGUACAAAUCCAUGAGGCCAGCCUGGUUGCGAGCUUCAACGCAUGGAAGCUCCACUUUCCCUCAAAAUUUUUUGGGGGGAAAUUUUCAGGAGCGACACACAGAGGAGGAUUCAAUUGAAAAUGUCGAAAAGAAGAAGCAGCGUCCUGUUGUUCGUGUCAGGCCGGGAAAGUGUGCGAGGCUCCUGGUGGCUGCCAGAAAGAAAAAGUUCCUGUGCGACACAUCCUGGAAGUGUUUGGUUGGAUCAUAUCUCUGCCUUUUGUUGGAAUUCCCUUUAAGAUGAGAAACAAAGAGAGACAAGAACACUUGGUGCUAAAGAAACCCUUUUCAUGAGAGCAGCAAACACUCCAUCCAAUGUUUGUGGGGGGGGGGGGGGCAUGGUGAUAGGCCACUUUUGAGCCGGACACUGAGGCGUCCUAAUUAAAGGCCACUUAUGCCCCACAAAGUGCUGCGUUGCAGGUUGGUGUCAUUGAAGGAGGAGGCGGGGGGGGUCGGGGAUUCAUGGCACUCGUAAACAAGGAGAACCCAGGACAGCGGGGAUGGAAAGGACUUUGUUCACACAAGAUGAAGAGUCAACAGCUCCCCCCCUCCUGCCUAGAAAAAAAAAUUCCACCCCCGUCAUCAGCCAUCUCCUCUAAUAAGCAGCACCUACACAGGAGCAGCGACUACAAUGCCGGCAGCUCACUCGCUCCCCUCCUCUUGCUCUCAAUCACUGCUGGGACAAUAAGGGGGAACCCCCUAAUGCCCCCACCUCCACCACACCGCCCCCCCUUUGAAACAGACACUUCUUUUAUUGAAAUUCUUUGCUGUUCUAAUCCUCCGCUUCCUCCAAGCCCAAUAAUGGACUCCCUGCAUCAUCAGCCUUUUCCAGCCCAAGCCGCUGUCACGUCACAACCCGGUCCGGGUCACAAGUCCACCCUCUCGCCCGCCCUCCUCGUUCCGCUGACAGGUGUAUCUGCAAAGAUAUGGCAAAUUUGUUUCGUUUAAACCCAAAGAUAAAAAUAGCAAAAACAAAAAAAUACAAAUAAUGAAAUAUAGAAAUAUUUAUGCAUCAUAUCUUGGCAUGUUUAAAUUAUGUUGUAUUUUUUAUUUUAUUUUUAUUCAUUUAUGGCCGAUUAACUAAAUAAAUGUGUGUCUACUAA
Molecule: long non-coding RNA, 1890 nt
Organism: Syngnathus acus (greater pipefish)
Lineage: Eukaryota; Metazoa; Chordata; Actinopteri; Syngnathiformes; Syngnathidae
Exons: 5
Source: RefSeq, a predicted model, not a curated record